Molecule: long non-coding RNA, 1604 nt
Organism: Eriocheir sinensis (Chinese mitten crab)
Lineage: Eukaryota; Metazoa; Arthropoda; Malacostraca; Decapoda; Varunidae
Exons: 2
Source: RefSeq, a predicted model, not a curated record
UGAAGUAGAGAAGAGAAAAAUAAAGAGACAGACGACUUAAGAGAAUUGGGCCCCGAUGCGAAUGUUAGGAAACUCUAGCGGGCCGUCCUCGUGAGCGUCAGCACUCUCACUGGUGCUUUCUCUCCGCAGGUGUGUGGGUGCAAUGUAUACCUGAAUGAUGUUAAUUGGUGAACAGAUUCCUACCAAGUAAAAUCAAUCAAUCAAUCAAUCAGAGAAGGAAAAUAUAAUAAAAAAGAAAAAUUGGAAUGAGAAAGAAAAGGGAAACGGAUGCUGCGUCGCAAGCCGUCGCGAGGAUUCCUUUGGAUGCUUGUGCGCGUUUCCCAGGCCCGUCGGUCUUCCAUCCCUGAACCGAUAAACGCGGUGACCGGCGCCUUCACAGUAAUUAUGAUUAAUUUUAUAAUCCAGUCUGGUAGUUUUAAGAAGCGAGUUCUUGCAUCCUCGCCUCGGCGGGGGUGUGGAGCGCCAGCGAGCCCAAGGUCUCCCUGGCGAGCAUGGCAGGACUGGAGGGCUCCAGGCAGGGCUCCUCGGCGUCCCUCGGGGCCCCGACGGAGGUGCCGGAGAUCUUCCGGCUACAAACCCGGGCAGGUGGAGCUCGUUAGCCGUGGUAGGCAAUCUGCCUAGGAGAGCAAACUCCGAACAAUAAACCCGGGCAGGUGGAGGUCGUCAGCCGUGGUAGGCAAUCUGCCUAGGAGAGCAAACUCCGAACAAUAAACCCGGCCAGGUGGAGGUCGUCAGCCGUGGUAGGCAAUCUGCCUAGGAGAGCAAACUCCGAACAAUAAACCCGGCCAGGUGGAGGUCGUCAGCCGUGGUAGGCAAUCUGCCUAGGAGAGCAAACUCUAAACAAACCCGGGCUUGUGGUGCUCGUUAUACUGUCGUAGACAAUCCACGCGAUGGGAACACCAAAGAAAAGGAAAAUAAAAAGGAACACCAGAAAAAUGGAAAAUACAGAAACGAAACGUCAAGAAAAGAAACAAAAAGAUCAUCCACCUUUAGGCCCUAACAUCGCCAAAAUUAUGGAUGGGUCUCUUCUGGGGAGAAAGCGGCUCAUCCAGACCAAAGAACAUCAACAAAAGGAUGAUAUGAAUAAAUUAAAUAAAAACACAUAAAGAAAAACACAUCAAGGAAAGAAAAAUAUAACAAACAGCAUCCACCUUCCGACCCUGACUAACAUCACCAAAAUUAUGGGUGGGUCUCUUCUGGGGAGAAAGCGGCUCACCCAGACCAAAGAACAUCAACAAGGGAUGAUAUAGAAAAGAACACCAAAAAAAAUGGAAAAAGAACAGAAAAAACAUCGAAAAAGAAAAGCAACAGAAAUAAAUGAACAACAUCAAGAAAAGAGAAAUACAAAGAAACAUCAUCCACCUUUCGGUCCCAAACAACAUCACCAAAAUUAUGGAUGGGUCUCUUCUGGGAGGAAAGCGGCUCAUCCAGACCAAGGAACAUCAACAAAAGGAUGAUAGGAAAAAAAUAACAACAAAAAGCAUCAAUAAGAAGUAAAAGAAAAAGAACAGGAAAACAUCGAAAAAGAAAACUAAAGCAAUAAAAAGAACGAAAAACACGACAUCAAGAAAAUGAAAUAAAACAAACAUCAUCCACCUUUCGGC